RNAcentral lists this ribosomal RNA (580 nucleotides) under uncultured rumen bacterium. RNAcentral's name for it is "bacterial SSU rRNA". It matches the Rfam family "Bacterial small subunit ribosomal RNA", at positions 172 to 766 of the family's 1533-position model. The record is from RNAcentral.
CAUGAGACCACGGGGAGACAUCUUCCAGGGGUCAAAGGAGCAAUCCGGUAAGGGGUGGGCUCGCGUCCGAUCAGAUAGUUGGUGAGGUAACGGCCCACCAAGUCGACGAUCGGUAGCCGACCUGAGAGGGUGAUCGGCCACAUUGGGACUGAGACACGGCCCAAACUCCUACGGGAGGCAGCAGUGGGGAAUAUUGGGCAAUGGGGGGAACCCUGACCCAGCAACGCCGCGUGAGGGAAGAAGGUUUUCGGAUCGUAAACCUCUGUCCUUGGUGAAGAGUAAGAGACGGUAGCCAAGGAGGAAGCCCCGGCUAACUACGUGCCAGCAGCCGCGGUAAUACGUAGGGGGCGAGCGUUGUCCGGAAUGAUUGGGCGUAAAGGGCGCGUAGGCGGCCCGGUAAGUCUGGAGUGAAAGUCCUGCUUUUAAGGUGGGAAUUGCUUUGGAUACUGUCGGGCUUGAGUGCAGGAGAGGUAAGUGGAAUUCCCAGUGUAGCGGUGAAAUGCGUAGAGAUUGGGAGGAACACCAGUGGCGAAGGCGACUUACUGGACUGUAACUGACGCUGAGGCGCGAAAGUGUGGGG